RNAcentral lists this ribosomal RNA (918 nucleotides) under uncultured Bacteroidota bacterium. RNAcentral's name for it is "bacterial SSU rRNA". It matches the Rfam family "Bacterial small subunit ribosomal RNA", at positions 1 to 916 of the family's 1533-position model. Lineage: Bacteria; Pseudomonadati; Bacteroidota. The record is from RNAcentral.
GGAUCCAGACUUUGAUUAUGGCUCAGGAUGAACGCUAGCGGCAGGCUUAACACAUGCAAGUCGAGGGGCAGCGCGGGGCAGCAAUGUUCUGGCGGCGACCGGCGGAAGGGUGCGUAACGCGUGAGCGACAUGCCCGUUGCCCGGGGACAACCGGUGGAAACGCCGACUAAUCCCCGAUGGGACGGAGGCCCUCAUGGGUCUCCGUUGAAAGUUACGGCGGCGACGGAUUGGCUCGCGUCCGAUUAGCUUGUUGGCGGGGUAACGGCCCACCAAGGCUACGAUCGGUAGGGGUUCUGAGAGGAAGGUCCCCCACAAUGGAACUGAGACACGGUCCAUACUCCUACGGGAGGCAGCAGUGAGGAAUAUUGGUCAAUGGGCGGAAGCCUGAACCAGCCAUGCCGCGUGCGGGAAGGAGGCCCUAUGGGCUGUGAACCGCUUUUGCCUGGGGGCAAUAAGGGCGUCGUGCACGUCCGAUGAGAGUACCAGGCGAAUAAGCAUCGGCUAACUCCGUGCCAGCAGCCGCGGUAAUACGGGGGAUGCGAGCGUUAUCCGGAUUCAUUGGGUUUAAAGGGUGCGUAGGCUGUGCGUCAAGUCAGGGGUGAAAUUCCGGGGCUCAACUCCGGGGCUGCCCUUGAUACUGUCGCGCUGGAGUGCGGAUGCCGCCGGAGGAAUGAGUGGUGUAGCGGUGAAAUGCUUAGAUAUCACUCAGAACACCGAUUGCGAAGGCAUCUGGCGAAUCCGUAACUGACGCUGAGGCACGAAAGCGUGGGGAUAGAACAGGAUUAGAUACCCUGGUAUUCCACGCCGUAAACGAUGAUGGCUAACCGCCGGCGACACACUGUCGGUGGCCAAGCGAAAGCGAUAAGCCAUCCACCUGGGGAGUACGUCGGCAACGAUGCAACUCAAAUGAAUUGACGG